RNAcentral lists this ribosomal RNA (491 nucleotides) under uncultured bacterium. Its description in RNAcentral is "partial 16S ribosomal RNA". It matches the Rfam family "Bacterial small subunit ribosomal RNA", at positions 29 to 506 of the family's 1533-position model. The record is from RNAcentral.
AGUGAACGCUGGCGGUAGGCCUAACACAUGCAAGUCGAACGGCAGCACAGUAAGAGCUUGCUCUUACGGGUGGCGAGUGGCGGACGGGUGAGGAAUACAUCGGAAUCUACUUUUUCGUGGGGGAUAACGUAGGGAAACUUACGCUAAUACCGCAUACGACCUACGGGUGAAAGCAGGGGAUCUUCGGACCUUGCGCGAUUGAAUGAGCCGAUGUCGGAUUGGCUGGUUGGCGGGGUAAAGGCCAACCAAGGCGAGGAUCCGUAGCUGGUCUGAGAGGAUGGUCAGCCACACUGGAACUGAGCCACGGCCCAGACUCCUACGGGAGGCCGCAGUGGCGAAUAUUGGCCAAUGUGCGCAAUCCUGAUCCAGCCAUACCGCGUGGGUGAAGCAGGCCUUCGGGUUGUAAAGCCCUUUUGUUGGGAAAGAAAAGCAGCAGGUUAAUACCCCGCUGUUCUGACGGUACCCAAAGAAUAAGCACCGGCUAACUUCGU